This is a long non-coding RNA of Ailuropoda melanoleuca (giant panda), 721 nucleotides long. RefSeq lists it as uncharacterized. The record is from RefSeq and is a predicted model, not a curated record. The transcript is spliced from 3 exons. Lineage: Eukaryota; Metazoa; Chordata; Mammalia; Carnivora; Ursidae.
AGCCACCGUGGAACUCCUUUGACUUUCAGGAAAGGCACUUUGAGCUGGAAAAUCAUAAUUUGGAGAAAACCAAUCUUUAUGAAAUCAAAAAAAAAAAAAAAGGAGCUGAGUAUUCACAGACUAGCUGAUGAUCCUUUCCAUACAUCUACUGCCUCAGAGUUUCAAGGGUGGGGGAUGUGGCGCUGGAGAAGCUGGACUUGGAGAAGUUCCCCCAGGUGCUUCCGACGCGCAGCCACGGCUAGCUGGGAACCACAGAUACACAGCCUACCAGCGCUCUUCGUCUCCAUAGCAACAGAGGCAGAAGCAGCAAGCAUUAACGGUGGCAUAAAGUAUUUAAGCUAAUAAACAUCUAUUUCUUCACAGAAUUUUCUUAGUGUCUUCUAGAUUUCUUUUUUCCUGCCAAGAAAAGCCUCUUGCCUGAAUUGACCUUUGUUUCCAAACUUUCCGUGUUUGGGGCUCUGUAAAAUCCUGUGCUCUCUUAUGUUAUUUAUUAUCACUGAUGAUGACAAUAAUAAAUAUCUCAAUACAUUUUCCAGAUAUUAUUUAAUUUUAUUUGUUCAAAUCAGGAAGUGUUCCCUUGACAACCAGGCUAUGCCCUUCUCCCUGGGUGGCAUGAUUCUGGUGUGAAAGGUAUAUGACACAAACUAGCCACAGAUUAUUUUUAAUUUAAACCACCAUUUCCAAGUAAUUUACAACCUACUCCAGACCUCUAUAUUUCUGU